Molecule: ribosomal RNA, 443 nt
Filed under: uncultured bacterium
Lineage: Bacteria
Description: partial 16S ribosomal RNA
Rfam family: Bacterial small subunit ribosomal RNA
Source: RNAcentral
CCUACGGGAGGCUGCAGUGGGGAAUAUUGGGCAAUGGGCGCAAGCCUGACCCAGCAACGCCGCGUGAAGGAAGAAGGCUCUCGGGUUGUAAACUUCCUUUGUCAGGGACGAAGAAAGUGACGGUACCUGACGAAUAAGCCACGGCUAACUACGUGCAAGCAGCCGCGGUAAUACGUAGGUGGCAAUCGUUAUCCGGAUUUACUGGGUGUAAGGGGCGUGUAGGCGGGACUGUAAGUCAGAUGUGAAAACCACGGGCUCAACCUGUGGCCUGCAUUUGAAACUGUAGGUCUUGAGUACUGGAGAGGCAGACGGAAUUCGUAGUGUAGCGGUGAAAUGCGUAGAUAUUAGGAGGAACACCAGUGGCGAAGGCGGUCUGCUGGACAGCAACUGACGCUGAGGCGCGAAAGCGUGGGGAUCAAACAGGAUUAGAUACCCCUGUAGUC